This is a long non-coding RNA of Grus americana (Whooping crane), 2421 nucleotides long. RefSeq lists it as uncharacterized. Lineage: Eukaryota; Metazoa; Chordata; Aves; Gruiformes; Gruidae. The record is from RefSeq and is a predicted model, not a curated record. The transcript is spliced from 2 exons.
GAGCGGGGCCGGGCCGCGCCCCGCGCCCUGGAUAUCGCUUCGGCAGCCCGCAGAGGUCCUGCAUAACAGCAAGCCCGAUGCAGGUUGCGGGGCACCGCCAUCCCGCCGCCCGGGCACCUGGGGAGCGUGAAAGGGACUGGAGCGUCUCCAAGCUCUCCCCUGCUACGCUAGUCAAGUUUAAUCCAAUCCUCCCAACGCAGAGAGUGUGACAGCCCCCGCGACCCGGCACUGGCGUGCGAGCUUUGGCACGGGGCCCCGCUCCCGAGCGCCCGCCCUGAGAGAGCAGUACGUGCAGGUAGGAACAAGUCACACAGGGCGGGCAGGCCUUUGAGUGCGAUCAGGCAGACUUGCUCUCUCAGGGAGGUUCUCUUGGGUCCAGAAACCUUCUGCAAAUCAAGGUCACGCUUUAAAUCCCCUGUGUGACCUCUCUUGUCUGUCUCUUAUUAAGGAAUACAUGCUGCAGACCCCCACUGAGGGGCCCAGGGGGGUUCCCCUCACUGGUAUUUAUCUGCUGGUUUAUGAAGGCAGGAGGGAAGAGCUCCCAGGGAGAGGCAGUUUUCGGGGCCGUUGUUCACCCUCACCGGCACGUGCACCCGCCGCUCAGCCAGGGCGUUUGGCUGCAGCCCUGGUUAGGUUUGCCGGUGCCCUUUGCAAGAACGUGUCAAAGUGCUUGGCAGCACAGAGGAGCACCCAGCAAGCCACAGGUAUAAAAGAGCUUCUCCAGGACCUCUGCGGCCACUGAUGACCUUCCGGUCACCGAACAGGAAGCGUGUGAGCUCACCUGUGCUACCCGUCAGGAAUCCAAGAGGCUUCUCGCUGGGAUGAAGCAUUGAGGAGGUCGGCUGUGCUGCAGGGAGGAGAGAAAUCGCCGUGCUACUGGCGCAGCUGCCCCAGAGACAUUGGGGUCACUCGGGGCAGCCAAGCUGGGGGGGGCUGCGGGUUCACCGGGGAGCCGAACACAAGGCCCAGAGGAGCAAAGGAGCAGCUGAUACGGUGACAGUAUCAACGAGAAGCAAUACUGACCAGGAACCAUCUUCUAAGACAAUAAAAACAGUUAGGUCCUACCCCAACAGGACUGCUUGGCUUCAGAGAACUCCUUCUACCAUUAUUUUCUGAACUCGCGUUCGAGUGUGGGUGACCUCACCAGGUUUUUGUAUGCACCUCUAUAUAAAACCUUGUGGAAAACGAGCAAGCUUGUGGAUUUCCAGACAGCCUGCACCUCCAGCCAGUGGCGAGCUAAGAUGACGCGUACAGCAAAGCUCCGCUUACCUUCAAAGUUUUCCACUCAACAAGCCACACCCCAAACCAGCAAAAGCGCGUGGAACACUGCUACAUCCUCUACGACAUAAGCCACGGCAGAGAGCUUUUGGGAGCGUAAAUAAAGUACCGGCAUUUCUUUUUGGUUCCCGCUUGCCGAUGUGAAAUACAUUCAGAAAGAAAUGAAAGCAUUUGCACUCUCGGUUCGAACCCGGGGCUCUCGCACCUCCCCUAACGCUGUAGCCAAGGUGCGGUGGCUGUCCAAAGAACGAGCCCGGGUGUGGCAACGGACGAUGGCGUCAAAGCGCCGCCUCAGGGGACCGGCCUUCAGGCUCCCCUCCCAGGAGCCGACCUCCACUGCCAGCAGCGCAACCGGGUCGGGGCCAGGUUCGCGCCCCAACCGCCACAAAAGACCACGACAGCUCGACAUCGGUUCCUGGCUUUAUUGUCACAGACCCCUGUUACAGACUCGGGACCCACGGCGUUACUGAGGGUGAGCCUUCAGACGUUGUACCCGAUCAGGCCGCCCUUGCCUAUGAUCUCCCCGAUGUAAAACCACAUCAGCACCUCCGUGGCCACCAGACCGUUCCUCAGCGCUUCCUGAAAGAAAAAAACAAACAAAACAAAAAAGCCACUGGUUAGACUGUCAGCUCCUGCUACAGCUUCUCUCCUCGCUCCUGUAAUCGAGCUCCACAUACGACUAGCAAAGCAGUGAACCAAUUCGCAAGGCAAUGGUUUAAGAAAAGAAAAAUAAUUAAAAGUGCAACGGGGUGUUUCUCGUGUUGAGCCACCCCCCAACAAACUACGCUGUUAAGGUGGUUCCAAAACGCUGGGUACAGCCUCAGUAGUAGAAUAGUCAGCAGGACCUGAAAAGGCUGCAGAGCUCGCCUACUCCUCGGCUUAUCCAGGAAAAAGUGGGUAAAUUUUUGUAAAUGUAUAACAUUUUGAAAGCCUGGCACCAAAGGAAACGCAUCUUUGGAGCGCAGGCAACAGAAACCCAGUGCAGCGCGCAUCGAUUCUAGUGGGCAGAUUCGCAGGGAGCGCCGUGGGGAUUCGCUGCUACACGGAGGAGGAGGAGGAGGAAAGCAGCCUGACCCGGGUUCUCUUUGCGGGGAGCAGAAAAACCUCAGGAAACAAAAAAAAAAAAAAAUCAGAGCACUGGGG